Molecule: ribosomal RNA, 197 nt
Filed under: uncultured bacterium
Lineage: Bacteria
Description: partial 16S ribosomal RNA
Rfam family: Bacterial small subunit ribosomal RNA
Source: RNAcentral
ACGCUCGACACCUACGGGGGCAGCAGUGGGGAAUAUUGCACAAUGGGGGAAACCCUGAUGCAGCGACGCCGCGUGAGUGAAGAAGUAUUUCGGUAUGUAAAGCUCUAUCAGCAGGGAAGAAAAUGACGGUACCUGAGUAAGAAGCCCCGGCUAACUACGUGGCAGCAGCCGCGGUAAUCUGAGCGGGCUGGCAAGGC